CUACUAUGCUCAGUUGACUAACGUUAAUAUUUAAGUAAAAUUAUUCCCUUUAGGCAAGAAAAUAAGUAAGAUGCCUACAGAGAAAUAUAUAAAAUAACAGUAGCACAAGAAAUAAAGUUAGAAAAGUCAGUAAUAUUUCCAGAUGAUUUUAGGAAGUUAGCAGAGAGAAUAUCCAACAGUAGGAUAAAAUUUGCUGAUAUUGCCCAGGAACUGAAAGUUUCUGUUUAUUUUCCCAGCACACCACAAAGAAUUGUUAGGUGUUUUGUUGUUGUUGUUGGCCUGAAUUAUUCAGAUUAUUUUCUCUAUUUCCUGUGUCACUUUGCAGAAAUCUUUUUUUUUUUUAAGAUUGGCCCUGAGCUAACAUCUGUUGCCAAUCUUCUUUUUCUUUUUUUUCCUUCUUCUUCUCCCCAAAGCCCCCCAGUACAUAGUUGUAUAUUCUAGCUGUGAGCGCCUCUGGUUGUGCUAUGUGGGACGCUGCCUCAGCAUGGCCUGAUGAGCGGUACUAGGUCUGCGCCCAGGAUCCGAACCACCAAAACCCUGGGCUGCCAAAUUGGAGGGCACAAACUUAACCACUCGGCCGUGGGGCAAGCCCCAGGAAUCUUAAUUCUUAUUCUCUUACACUCUUUCCCACAUGUACCCAUCCAAACUUAUUUUUAGAUUUCUAUUUAUGAUUAGCAGUAUUUUAAAUUUCCUAAAUGCAGUCCUUUAUUUGGAGUCUUUAUCAUUAAAAAGUCUCGAAGUCGCAUCCUACUUUCCUGUUUUCCCUUAGGCGUUUGCUUCCCUAAAUCCCAAAUCAGUGAGUAUCUCAUGUAUGCCUCACCACCUCUCCAUUUUCAUUGAAGGAUCCCUGUUCAGUACCCAGGGAGUUACAAUAUCAUACAAUCAAGGAAUUCACAAGUAAUUUAAAAAAACAGUGGUGGCUGACAUGCACAUACCUGCCUGGAGGAGGUGAAGUUCAAGCUCCCUGUUAAAGAGCAGGAGGGAUUUAGAUGUCGAGACAGAGGAGGCUGCUCCAAACAGAAAGGAUGGAAGGAUAGAGUCCUCCCAUGUGGAAUCUGACACCUGGAAGCUUUCAUAUUCUUUUCUGUGGCUGCAGAGUAUGGUCGCAGUAAUUUCUCUGGUUGUUGAGAGAGUCAAUGGAACCUCAGCUGUUCUGAUCAUCUGUAAUUCCACCAUUUCCACCACCAGAUACACACCUUCACUUCUUAGACAGACACUGCUUGCUGUCAGCAUCCAGGCCCACAAAUGGGAGAGAGAACAGCUAAAGACAGCAACCUGCUUGGCAUCCCCCUGCACACCAUAAUAGUCCUCAGGGUGAAGUAACCAUGGACAUCAGUGUCCACAGCAUCUUCAAGGUGGCUGUUAUGGAUAAAGAGGACAGGCCAAAAGGACAGUAUUGAGUCACAAAGUGGAAGACUGUAUCGGUUAAGAAAGCUUUUGAUUAUACAUGAUCCAGAAUGCUGAGAAGUUCAAAGCAGAAAAAUGAGAAGCAGAGAAACAUGGUUGGUAUCUCCUAAGAACUCUCUUGAGUCCACUGUCUUUACUCAGGACAAAAUGGAAAACAGAAAAAUUCAAGGCAAAAGCAAUCAUGGAGGGCAAACAGGAGAUUCAGUAAGGCCAUCAGCUGGCUGAACAAGAACUAGCCUGCUGAUAAGGAAGAAUUUGAGUGUCAUCAGGAAUACUGAAGAAUUCCAAAAUUCUGCAAGUUGAUCGUCACAAGCUGUACCAGGGAGCUGACAACAAGCCCUCGCAGGGGCAGAGCUCCACUGCCACAGUGUGUCUUGUCAGAGAGAGAUACCCACUAUCGAAGAAGGUGACCAUGCUGACCAGAAGAAAGCAUAUUCCACAGAUCUGUCGCAGAGUUUACAUAUGUGGCCCAGUCAGUUCACUAAGUCAGUUUCAAAGGUUGAUUUUAAACUAUGAAUUAAGCUGUGGAGAUAAACAGUUCUGAAUAUGUGUAAUAGCUCAACUAAAAUAGAAGUUCAUUUCCUGCUCACUUAACAGUCCAAGGCAGGUGUUCCUGGCUGAUGGAUGGUUCUUCUCCACACGGUGACUCAGGGAAUGACCCAGGCUCAUUUUGUCUUCUCUCCACCAGGGCCUCAUCCUCAUCAGCUGCCUCCAGUCAAUAGACGAGAAGUGAGAGAGAGAGGGGCACGCCUGCUGCUUUAAAGCCUUGUCUCAGAAAUGAUGUUCAUCACCAAAACUCAGUCACACGAUCUAACUGCAGGAAGGCUGGCCUACGUCGUCCAAUUGUGUUCCCAAAGAGUAGGGACAAGGGAUUGGUGGGGAGGACAGGGAACAGCUCGCAGUCUGCAGUUGUUUCAAUUGGGUCAUAUUUCAUAUACUUCAGAGAGUUUCAUCGCACUUCAGCAGUGUUAUGAGUGAAAAGUAACAUUUAUGUCUCAACAAAUAAAGAUCCACUUUAAAUCGGUGUCAUAAAAACAAGUAGAAUUUCUGGGUCAAAUGGCAUACAAAAUUCUAAAGGUUUUCAUUAAGUAUCGUCAAGUUGACCUUGAGAAGUUGUUCAGUUUAUACUCUCAUCUCCAUGCCAUCACCUACACCACUGCUAACAUUGCAUACAGUAUUAUCAUUUCAAAGCUUUUCAUAAACAAAAUAAAGUAUUCAAACAAUAGAGAAAAGAUGAGUGAGGAAUGUAAAAAAAAGUCACCAGAGGUAAUCACCACUAGUCUUUUGUUGACCACCUUUUCAUACGACUCUCUACACAGAGAUAUUCCACAGAAAAGAUAUUACAUUUGCCUUUUGAAAAAUUGUGAACCUCCUUCUCUUGUUCUAUUUCCCUUCUUUUCUUUAUUUCCUUCCUCCCUCCUUCUCUCCCUCCCUCCCUUCCUUUUCUCUCAUCGCUCCCUUCUCUCCCUCUUUUCCCUCCCAUUUCUCAUGCUUUGCUUUUGAUGGCCAUAAUUGACUGGCUUUACUGGGUCAGUCCUGACUUGAGGAGGUACGAUCGCGUAGAAAUUGAUAGCACAUACCCUAAAGCCACACUGCCUGGAUCUGGAUUCCACCUUGUCCAUGUAUUGCUGUUAUGACCUCUGUGUCUCAGUCUCCUUAUCUGUACAAGCGGGUAAUAAUAGUACCUACCUCCUUGGUUCCUAUUAAUCCUUGUGAGGAUUAAAUGAGUUAAUAUGUGUCAUGUGUCUUGAACAGCACCUCGUGCAUAGUAAGUGCUAUAUGUGUUUGCUAUUAUUAUCAUUAAUCUAUCACAUACGUUACAGAUAUUUUUUCCUGCCUGUUAUUUGUCUUUUGAC
RNAcentral lists this long non-coding RNA (3263 nucleotides) under Equus caballus (horse). Its description in RNAcentral is "lncRNA (ENSECAG00000058109.1)". The record is from RNAcentral. Lineage: Eukaryota; Metazoa; Chordata; Mammalia; Perissodactyla; Equidae.